This is a long non-coding RNA of Drosophila bipectinata, 1560 nucleotides long. RefSeq lists it as uncharacterized. Lineage: Eukaryota; Metazoa; Arthropoda; Insecta; Diptera; Drosophilidae. The record is from RefSeq and is a predicted model, not a curated record.
AAAACAAAAAUGCCAGACCAGGUGACUGAACUGAUCCAACAUCCGCAACAUCCUCGUCCUCGACGCCGCCAAACUCAAGUCAAGUGCCGUGGAUGUGUGUCAAUUAAAAAGUCUCGUCUCAGUGAGUCGCGUAUUUAAUUUGCGGCACAUUCCAGACACACCGACCCACACACACCAUCCAGCUAUUUAAUUAAAAAUGCCACGGACACGGAAUCACACAGAAAUAUUGACCGAUUCGAAAAACCCAACGAUUUCAACUCAAAGUUAAACACAAUAUUGCGGCCAAAACCAGACAGAAGGAUGGAAGCCCGAUGAGCUGAGGGCCUGAGCCUUACAUAUACACGAUGUAGACGAUAUGGACGAUGUAAAGGAAAGCCAACCUAACCCCGAAAAUCAAUAAAAUGAAUCGUUCAAACAUUGCGGUCAAAUGCUUCGACAACAAAAUUUCAAUUUUCAGGGUAAGUUGACAACAAACAACAACCGAACAAAAAUUGUGAAAAUUUCAAAUGCAGAAAAUCGCUUUUUGUGCUCUUGAAUCCACAAAAGACCUUUCAACUUGGCUGCACUUGUCUCGGGGGGAAAUUGAUAUUUUCACCAAUGGGGCCAGGCGGUGGUUGUGGCUGUGGAAGUGGAAGUGUAAUUAAAGCAGCUUAUAAGUAAAAUUUCCUAACCGAAUGUUUGCCUUGGCUGUCAUUUGUAGUUUUGCAAUUUCGCAAUUUCCCCAGCUUGUGUCAUUCAAAUAAACAAACUUGCGAACUUCCGAAGCAGAAAAUUAAUUUGCAAAUUUCUUAGUUGAAUAAAGUGAAAGGUAAAAGGGAAGAAAAGGGGACAUCCGUUUAAGGAGAUCAAUCAACCUUAAUGAAACUGGGAAUUUAUAAAAUCAAAAGGAUUUUCUGGCAAUGAUAUCUUGUAGCUUAGUUAUAGAGUCCUAAACCAGUGCAUGUCCUGUGUUGCAGGACAAAGACAUUCAAUCUGGUAGCCACUCCCUGGGUAUCCUUUGCCAGGACUCCGAAACUGAAGCCAAGGCAGUUUUUAUGAAGCCAACGUGCUGUUGUUCGCGUGCCCGUGUUAUCCUUUGGCCGCCUCCACAUUGUUGUUCCUGUUAUCCUUUGGCAGUUGCUUUAUUUGCCGUACAUCUUUGUUGACUUAAUACACGAGUGUAACUAAAGCGCGAGGAAUUUAAUUUGCCUUCAAAUUGCUUGCAGGACUCGGAAGACAUAGGGGCAACAAAGAUUGUUGGGAGUGGAAAUGGGUUUUGCGAUUUAAACAAUUUAAGGUGUUCUUGGUAUAACAAGCUUGCUAAAAUUUUAAAGCGGAAACUACAGCACAUGCUGACCAAAAUCCUUCAUCCUAAUCCCCAUGGCCUGCUUUCCAUAAACUCAGUUUGUUCAAGGAUUUCCCUGUGGCCUCUCUCUAGAAAGUAUGCAUAUAUGCAUGAGAAAUUUCCCAAAACUAAAAAACAAAACAAGUCAAAUAAGAGAUCAACCGAUUAGAUAAAAAAAAGAGCUGCUCAAAUUCAGUUGUCCUAAUUGAAUUAGAAGGACACUGUAUGCAAAUUGC